UACCAGCACCCCGAGUGGUCGGGACGAUUAUUGGGCCUAAAGCAUCCGUAGCCGGUUCUGCAAGUCCUCCGUUAAAUCCAGCUGCUCAACAGAUGGGCCGCGGAGGAUACUACAGAGCUAGGAGGCAGGAGAGGCAAGCGGUACUCAGUGGGUAGGGGUAAAAUCCUUUGAUCCAUUGAAGACCACCAGUGGCGAAGGCGGCUUGCCAGAACGCGCUCGGACGGUGAGGGAUGAAAGCUGGGGGAGCAAACCGGG
This 255-nucleotide ribosomal RNA is filed under the name uncultured bacterium. RNAcentral's name for it is "partial 16S ribosomal RNA". It matches the Rfam family "Archaeal small subunit ribosomal RNA", at positions 474 to 728 of the family's 1478-position model. The record is from RNAcentral.